RNAcentral lists this unclassified non-coding RNA (87 nucleotides) under Pseudomonas sp. bs2935. The record is from RNAcentral. Lineage: Bacteria; Pseudomonadati; Pseudomonadota; Gammaproteobacteria; Pseudomonadales; Pseudomonadaceae.
UGUGGGAGCUGGCUUGCCUGCGAUCCAGUCAACUCGGUGAUUCAGGCACACCGAGUCGAUGCCAUCGCAGGCAAGCCAGCUCCCACA